UUAUAUUUAUAUUGUAAAAUUAAUUUGUUUUACUUUAUACAUUGAAAAACGCGACACAAAACCGAUCAAUAAGCAUUGCGGAAAAAUUGCAUUCCUAGAAUAAAACCAAUUCAGAGGCGUCCUGAACAGUUUUCCUGACAUUAUUUCAACACGAAUGCGAUUGGUUAACAUCUAUGCAAAAGAUGAGCAAUGACCAGAUGACCGAUGUGAAUCGUCGCACCAAUGUUAGUUCCUAUGC
Bactrocera oleae (olive fruit fly) is the source of this 238-nucleotide non-coding RNA. NCBI's taxonomy places the organism in Eukaryota, Metazoa, Arthropoda, Insecta, Diptera, Tephritidae. The record is from RefSeq and is a predicted model, not a curated record.